Molecule: non-coding RNA, 9615 nt
Organism: Callithrix jacchus (white-tufted-ear marmoset)
Lineage: Eukaryota; Metazoa; Chordata; Mammalia; Primates; Cebidae
Source: RefSeq, a predicted model, not a curated record
UUGGCCAGAUAUGAAAUUCUUGGUUGGAAAAUUUCUUAUUUAAGAAUGCUGAGGCCAGGCGAGGUGGCUCAUGCCUAAUCCCAGCACUUUGGGAGGCUGAGGCAGGCAGACCACCUGAGGUCAGGAAUUUGAGACCAGCCUGGCUAACAUGGCAAAACCCUGUCUCUACUAAAAAUACAAAAAUUAGCUGGUCAGGGUGGCAGGCACCUGUAAUCCCUGCUACUUGGGAGGCUGAGACAGGAGAAUCGCUUGAGCCCAGGAGGUAGAGGUCGCAAGAAGCAGAGAUCAUGCCACUGCACUCCAGCCUGGGCAACAGAGCAAGACUCCAACUCAAAAAAAAACAAAGAAUGCUAAAUAUAGGACCCCUAUCUCUUCUGGCUUUUAGGGUUUCUGCUGAAAGGUCUGCCAUUAGCCUGAUGGAGUUCCCUUUGUAGGUAACCUUCCCUUUCUCUCUAGGUGCCUUUGCCAUCUUUUCUUUCAUGUCAGCUUUGGAGAGUCCGAUGAUUACGUGUCAUGGGGACGGUCUUGAGUAAUCUCUCUCAGGGGUUCUCUGUAUUUCCUGGAUUUGAAUGUUGGCUUCUAACAAGGUUGAAGAAAUUUUCAUGAACGUUAUCCUAAAAUAUAUUUUCCAAGUUGCUUGCUUUCUCCCUCUUUCAUGGGUGCCAUGAGUCAUAGAUUUGAUCUUAUUACAUAAUCCCAUAUUUCUCUGAGGUUUUGUUCAUUCUUUUUUAUUCUUUUUUUUUAAUUCUUGUCUGAAUGGGUUAUUUCAGAGAGCUACUCUUCGAGCUCUGAGAUUCUUUACUUGGUCUACUCUGCUGUUAAUACUUGCAGUUUCAAUGUGUCAUUCUUGUAGUGUGUUCUUCAGCUGUAUCAGAUCAGUUGGAUUCUUUUUUAUAGAGGCUAUUUCAUCUGUCAGUUCCUGUAUUGUUUUAUUGUGAUGGUUAGCUUCCUUGGAUUGGGUUUUGACAUUCUCCUGAAUCUUGGUGAUCUUCAUUCCUGUACAUAUUCUGAAUUCUAUUUUUGUCAUUUCAGUCAUUCCAGCCCAGUUAAGAACCCUUGCUGGGGAAUUAGUAUGAUCAUUUGGAGGAAAGAAGACACUCUGGCUUUUUGAUUUGCCAGAGUUUUUGUGCUAAUUCUUUCUCAUUUGUGUGGGCUGAUGUUCCUUCAACCUUUAAGGUUGUUGUCCUUUGGAAGUUUUUUGGUUUUUGCUUUUUUCUUCUUUGAUGCCCUUAGGGGUUUGAUUAUGGUAUAAGGUGGGUUUGGUUUACUGCCUUCAAUUCUAGUCCACUUCUAGGUCUUGGAGGAGCCCCUUCCAAUUACUGUCUCUCUACUUGCAUUUCUUUUUUUGGGUGGUCUGGUCCACAGAACUCCCUCAGGCAAGGGCCACAGUUGGCCCGUAACCUUGCCAGGUCAGCUCUAAUCUGCUGUCUGUGUGCUUCCUGGGGAAACACGAGCUUGUACCUGCCUGCAGAGUUCAGACAGAAGCAUGACCACUGGAUUGGAAACUAUUGGGUGUGGCCUAUCUGGCUACAGGAGAGGGGGUGGGUGGGUACAGUUGUCUGCCCUGCUGUCUGGGUGUUUCCAUGGCAACAGGAGGCUGUAUUCCUUGACAAAUUCCGGUAGACAUAGGACUACUUGGGCCUUAAGCUCUAGCAGCUGUGGCUUGCCUGGCUACCAGUGGCUGGGGUUGGUGAGAAUGUCUGCUCUGGUGUCUGUGUGCUUCCUGGAACAACAGAAGGCUGCACUUGUUGGCUGAGUUCACACAGAAGCAGGACUGCUGGAGCAGAAGCUCUAUCAGGUGUUGUCUACCUGGCUGUCAGUAGCGAGGGUGGGUGGAGUCAUGUGCCUUGCCAUCCGGGUGCUUCCCGGGACAACAGGAGGCUGCACCCACCAGCUGAAUCCACACAAAAACAGAGCUGCUGGGCCAGAAGCUCUAGCAGUUGUUAGCCACCUGGCUACCAGAGGUGGGGGUGGGUAGGGUCACUCACUCUGCUGUUCAGGUGUUUCCCAGGACAACAGAAACCUGCACCCUCUAGCUGAGUUCACACAGAGGCAGGGCACUGGGCUGGAAGUUCUAGCAGGUGUCGCCCACCUGGCUACCAGUGGUGGGGGUGGUGGUAGUAGCUGGCUGAGUUCAGGCUGAAGUGAGACUGCUGGGCUAGAAGCUGGUGUUGAGGCCUGCCCAGCAUGAGUGGGUGGAGCAACCUUACUGCUCCCAGGCAUGGUAACUGCAGCCUCUACUGGGGCUAUGGUGCUGGCUUGUCUGCUCUGGGGCCCAAGGCUUAUAGAGGUCCCUUUGGACUCGAGAGGUGACCCCAUAAAACGUCUAAGUGGCUCUCUGCCUCAGUCUAGAAGCACGAUGGGUGGGUGUGGGGCCCAAAGGAUUCUCCUAUUCCUCGUCUUGCAUGGAUCCCUGUGGAGAGCAUGAGUCCCCCUGAGGGCUCUCACUCACUCACCCUGUCUUGUGUUGGAGAGAUUCUCCUGGCUCCAUGCUGAGCCCAUACAGUUGGUGCCUGGCUUCACUCCUCUAUGCUCUCUGUGUUCCUCUGCUGCCCUGAUGGAUCCCGGCAUGGUUUCUCAGAUGAUCAGCCUGUAGGUCAGUGUUCACUAGUCCUUUUGCUUCUUCUCCUUGACAGCAGCACACAUGAGCUGCCUCUAGUCCACCAUCUUGGCCCCACCCUCAAUUCAUGUCAAUCAUCCCAUCUUGUCCUGAGUCUUAGCUUAUGAUUUGACAUUCCACAUAGAUUUGCCUAUAGAUUUUGGGGUUCAGUCCCCAUGCCAAUAAUUUCUCCUUAUAAAUUAGCACACUGACAUCUGGAUUUGAGAACUCAAUUCUGUGAGCUGUAGACCGCACUACACGUGCUGAUGAGCAGGGAGUCUGAUCUGGACUAUAGCGAACCUCUGAAAUUCUGCAGGCCUGGUGAAGCCUCUUGGCAGCUCACCACCUGGCUGGCCAGCCUUUCCUAAACACACCUGCUGCACUGCUGGGUGCCUAGUGGGAGCCUUUUUCAUAAACUUCCUCAAGGCAAUAACUGUCUGGAGCCUCCUCUGUAGGGCAUUUCAGCUGCUUCCUAUAAUUCUCAUUACAAACUUCCAGUUGGGUCCAGCUACUCAGAGAGACCCACACAAGAGACACGUUGGUGAUAGCUAUACAGCACCUGUGGAGGUGCCCAGGGAGCAGGUGAUCUUUUGAAACAAGGGUCUCAAAACUAGAGAACUUUGUGUCUUGGUGGUUCACAAAGCCACUAGAAGAGGCACACAGGCAUGAAUGGAUUUAAGGGGUUCAUUUUUCCCAGGUUCUCAACUUCCAUAUGUACUUUCCUAAAAAGGAUCUGCUGUAGUUGAAGACUCAUGUCAAGGUUACUUUCUGGCCUCCCCUCCUCAGCCUCCCUUCACCCAGCAUACAAAAGAGCUCACACUCACACAGCCCUUUGAGCCUUUGAGCCUGGCUUGGAGCAUAAGAGCUGUAAGGUACCAAAGGAAGGGAAUAUUCUAAAUAUUCUUAAAUUGAAUUAUCUGUUUCAUGCUCUAUUGUUCAAAAAUGCAUCACAUAUGAAGGAGAGUCCCAUAAGAGUAAAGCAAAAAAAGAAUCAGUGAGAAACAGGAACACUCUUAUAUCAUAAUUCAUCCAGGAAAGGAAGUCUGCAUGCCUUGUCCGUCUAUAUUUGUUAAGAUUCAGAAGCGAAAUGAUUGUCACAAGGCACAUAUUAGCAUGAUUACUUUAAUUUAAAAAUGAGAAAUCUUUUCUGAUAGAAAGUAAUUUGAUUUGGCUGAGUAGUUUAACAGUGAGGACUGCCUUUGCCAAUAAGAAUGUCACAGAUGUUUUCCAUAAAUGAGUUAAGUCUGCAGCUCCAACAUGUUACUGAAAAUAUUUUGUUUGUUUGUUUUGAGACAGAGUCUCUGUUGCCCAGGCUGGACUGCAAUGGCAUGAUCUCGGCUCACUGCAACCUCCACCUCCUGGGUUCAAGCGAUUCUCCUGCCUCAGCCUACAGGCGCCUGCCACCGCACCCGACUAAUUUUUGUUUUUUUGUUUUUUUUUUUUGAGACGGAAUCUUGGAGUCUCACUCUGUUGCCCAGGCUGGUCCCAGGCUGGAGUGCAAUAGCAUGCUCUGGCCUCACCACAACCUCUGCCUCCCGGGUUCAAGCAGUUCUCCUACCUCAACCUCCCGGGUAGCUGAGAUUACAGGUGUGUGCCACCACGCCUGGCUAAUUUUUGUAUUUUUAAGUAGAAAUGGGGUUUCACCAUGUUGGUCAGGCUGGUCUCAAACCCCUGACCUCGUGAUCCACCUGCCUCAGCCUCCCAAAAUGCUGGGAUUACAGGCAUGAGCCACCAUGCCCAACUCCUAAUUUUUGUACUUCUAGUAGAGACAAUGUUUCGCCAUGUUGGCCAGGCUGGUCUUAAACUCCUGGGAUUAUAUGUGUGAGCCACCAUGACUGGCCUGAAAAUACAUUUCAAGCAUGUGAUAAGAUAAAAGGAUUCGAUCCCAAAAAUUUAGCAAAAAUGUAUUGAAAUUAAGAUUUUUACUUCCUGAAUCUUUCCUGAGUAUAUCAAUUUAAACAAAGUGCCUCUAAAUGAAAAAAUAGCAGAUAUAAUUAAUAAACAUUUGAUAUGUCUUCAGAAAGCUUUGUUGAUAUAAUUCCAGAAACUGAGAACUUGGAUGCCACUUGUGACUGAGUAACAGACUGGAUGAUUUCCAAGUAUUUACUUUCGAUAAAACUGAAGCAAGAUCUAAUUAAGUUGUCAGCUAAUAGGGCAUUGAAAAUAACUUUUGAUGAUAAAUCAUUAUAUGGUUUUUACUACAUAAUUCAGAGGUAUUCAAAGAAUCAGCUAGCAUUCCUACAGUGAAAUUUCUUUCCCAUCUAAUUUAUGCAAACUAGAUUUCUCAGAUCUUGUCUAUAAAAAUAAAAAAUAGGAAGAGAACUAAUUUCAAACUCAGUCCCAUUCUAGCAAUAAGUAAUAUUCAUCCACAUAUAUAAUAACUAUUGGGAGAAAUUCAACCCUACCAACUGUCAUUAAGAAUGUCUUUCCAAAAAAAAUUUACAUUUUAUUUUUCAUAAUUAUUAUUUAAAGUAAUACAUAUUGUUUUGAUCAAUUGUGGACUAUUAAUAUUGUAAUAAUAAAUCCAAACAAAAUUUAACACAUAUAGUAGCCCUGUGCCCACAGAAAAUAAUUUUUUUAGUUAAUGUCAAUUUAUAUAUGUAUUUUGGUUGCAGAUAAGAAUGAUCAGUAAAGCAUAAAAUAUAGCAGAAUAUGAUUCAAUGAAAAAAGUGGAAUAAAAACAUGAGUAGUAGAAGAAAAAUAAGGUUGUAAACUUUUAACUGUUAAAGAAGAGUUUAGGUCUUGUUUAGUGGAUGAUUAUAUUAAUAUCAAAUUGCUCUAAUAUCAGGCUGGAGUGCAGUGUUGUGAUCUCGGCUCACGGAAACCUUUGCCUCCCAGGUUCAAGUGAUUCUCCUGCCUCACCUUCGAGAGUAGCUGGGACAACAGGCAUGAGCCACCAUGCCAAGCUAUUUUUUGUGUGUGUAUUUUUACUAGAGAUGGGCUUCAUCAUGUUGGUUGGGAUGGUCUCCAACUCCUGACCUCAAGUAAUCUGCGUACCUCUGCCUCCCGAAGUGCUGGCAUUACAUGUGUGAGCCACCACACCCAGUCCAAUUGAUAUAUUUAAAAGCCUGAUGUAGGCUGGGCAAAGUGGCUCAUGCCUAUAAACCCGGUUCUUUGAGAGGCCAAGGCAGGAAGAUCCCUUGAGGCCAAGAGUUCAAGACCAGCUGAGGCAACAUAGUAAGACUGUCUCUACAAAAAAUAGAAAGUUUAGCCAGGCAUGGUGUCAUGUGCCUAUAGUCCUAGCUUCUAGGAUGGCUGAGGUGGGAGGAUUUCUUGAACUCAGGAGUUUGAGGUUACAGUGAGUUAUGAUCACACCAUUGUACUCCAGCCUGGGCAACAGAAUGAGACUCUGUCUCUUGAGGGGGCGGCGGAAAGCCUGUCGUAAGAGUUUAAAAUGUUCGUAUUUAAAGAAAUAAGAAAUCCUUAUCUUUUGAACUAUUUAUAUUUCAGAUGAAUAAUUUUAGAGAUCAACUUAAAAAUGUGAGAGGAGGCUAGGCACAGUGGCUCACACCUGUAAUUCCAGCACUUCGGUAAGUGAGGCAGGAAGAUCACUUAAGACCAGGAGUUGAAGACCAACCUGAGCAACAUGACAAGACCUUGUCUCUACCAAAACUUUUAAAAGUAGCCAGGUGUGGUGGCAUGUGCCUGCAGUCUGAGGCACAUGAGACUAUGCAGGGGGCCAAGGCCCACUUAUUCAGGAGCCUGAGGCAGGAGGAUCACUUUAAUCCAAGAGGUCAAGGCUGCAGUAAGCUAUGAUGAUGCCACUGCACUCCAGCCUUGGUAACAGAGCAAGACCCUGUCUUUAAAAAAAAAAGUGUGUGGCGAUUCCUCAAGGAUCUAGAAUCAGAAAUACCAUUUGGCCCAGCAAUCCCAUUACUGGGUAUAUACCCAAAGGUUUAUCAAUCAUUCUACUAUAAAGACACAUGCAGCCAGGCACGAUGGCUCAUACUGUAAUCCCAGCACAUUGGGAGGCUGAGGCAGGCAGAUCAUGAGGUCAGGAGUUCAAGCCUGACCAAUAUAGUAAAACCUCUAUAUUGACCAGCCUGGCCAGUGUAGUGAAACCUCUACUAAAAAUACAAAAAAACUUAGCCAGGUGUGGUGGCGGGCACCUGUAGUCCCAGCUACUUGGGAAGCUGAAGCAGGAGAAUCACUUGAACCCUGGAGGCAGAGGUUGCAGCGAGCCGAGAUUGCACCAUGCACUCCAGCCUGGGUGACACAGCAAGACUCUGUCUCAAAAAAAAAAAAAAAAAAGAGACACAUGCAUACCUAUGUUUAUUGCAGCACUAUUUACAAUAGGAAAGACUUGGAACCAACCAAAAUGCCCAUCAAUGAUAGACUGGAUAAAGAAAAUGUGAUACAUAUGCACCAUGGAAUAUUAUGUAGCCAUAAAAAAGAAUGAGUUCAUGUCCUUUUCGGGGAUACGGAUGAAGCUGGAAACUGUCAUCCUCAGCAAACUAACAGAGGAACAGAAAACUAAACACCAAAUGUUCUUGCUUAUAAGUGGGAGUUGAACAAUGAGAACACAUGGACACAGGGAGGAGAACAUCACACAUCAGGGCCUUUUGGGGGAUGGGGGCAAGGAGAGGGAGAGCAUUAGGACAAAUACUUAAUGCAUGAGGGACUUAAAACCUAGAUGACGGCUGAUAGGUGUAGCAAACCACCAUGGCACAUGUAUACCUAAGUAACAAACCUGCAUGUUCAACACAUGUAUCCCAGAACUCAAAGUAAAAUUAAAAGAAAUGAGAAGUGAGAGGGGACACAUAGUUUUGGAACAUACUUUUUGCCUAUUUCAGAAUUUAAAAAUGUGCAGACUACCACCUGGAGUAAGGAGAAAUGCCUUGGGCCCUGAGCCAUGGUGGUGGGUGGCCAGGAAGAUGGCAGAGGCAGGCAGCCAAGCAGACAGCCCCAGAAGACACCAGGGGUGAACAGGGGGCCUGCUGGGCAGAUUCCAAGCCCUUCCUUCUCCCACAGCCUUCCUAAAUCUUUACUCCCAGGAUUUGCCCAUCAGCCUCAGGGUGGGGUGUCUACAGAGGGAGGGGAGGAGGAACCCAGGAAAAGUCCUGCAGGCACAGAAGCUGGCACUGUACCCAGAGCUGAACUGCUCCAGCUCCUUCAGUGGGAAAAGUAUCAACCUUUAUGCUGCUCCAGACCAUGAGUCAUCCCCAAGUUUCGGCUUAGAAUUAGAGAAGCUGCUGCCUCAAGGUGACUCAGCAGAACUUCACCGAAUCCUUUGGAGGAGCUGGGAACCCACUAGACAAGAGAUUAUCCCCCCAAACCCAUUUAACUAUCAGGAUGAGCAGGAGCAACUGCACCCUAGGACCAGCUAGGUUUCUGGACACAGACCUCCACCCAUGCUUAACACAGAGAUAUUGUUUGUUCUGCUAAAACAUGAUCCUUUGGGGAGACUCAAAGCUGGGGCACUGUGGAUACAGACACUGCAAAUUACCACCCAACCCAAAAAUUUGGAUCUUGACAGAAAGGGGAUUAGAGCAGAGGGGAUGCUUUGUCUCAAGAAAAGCAAACUUUUUUAUGGGGUUUCCAACAGACCUAUCGCUGCCCCUUUCAGGGGAUCAGGCACUCAGAGAUGGAGAUGACGUUUGCAGCACACAGGGAAACCUCCUAAGCUCCACACUACAUAUAGAAAUCCCUCCUUUCCCCAUCUGCUGUGAGGGGCAGCCACUUCCAAGGUGCCCUUCCUUCUCUCACUUGUCCUUUUCAGCAUUCGGGUGGGAGGGGGUGAUGAGGCAGCCUCUCCUGCAGACUCUAACCCAGGACUCCUGGGUUCUGGCAGCUGCUUUUCUGUGGAGGAGCUCUGAUCCUAGAUGAGACCUUUACCUCUCUGUUUUCCCACCUGAAAAUGGAGCUCAUUACCUGCCUGACUCUUUGGAGAUGUUGUGAGGCUCAAGUAGGCACAGCUGCUUCCAAGCACCUUUUCCCCAGCCUGAGGCACCUUCCCCUCUCAAACACCCACAGCCUUCAGGGGUCCCUUGGGCGCCCAUCCCUUCACUUCUUCACCCUCCCUUAAAAACUGCACUGCGCCUUCUCUGCCCACCACAUGGCUGGCACAGAGCUGGAUACAAGAUGGCCACCCCUUCACCCCAAACGUGAGUUAUCUGCCCCUAAGGGAAAGCGGCACUCAGCCACCCUCCUGCCCUGGGACAGAAGCAGCAUCCAGAGAUACACAAGUCAAGGAAGACAGCCUGUCACAACCCGUGCAGGGAGGGACCAGCCACCACAGCCUCGGCCUGAGGGGUGCCAGGAGGAACUCGGGCCACCAGAGCCUCAGGUUGAGGGGCACAGGGAGGAAUGCAGCCACCACAGCCUUAGGUUGAGGGGUGCAGGGCAGGUCGUGUCUCCCCAGGAUCAAACUUGUGUAACAUAAUGAGAUCACUUUGAUAAUUAAAUUUCUAAAAUGAACAAACAGGGCACAUCCACAUCCCAGGCAAUGGGCCUGCUGAUCCCUCUGCCAGGAACAUAAAUAGUCCCUCCCUGAGCUGGGUCUGCAGCAGCAGCAGCAGCCACACCGAGGCAGGAGGCGCAGGCACCCCAGUGCUGACGGAAGGAGGGAGACCCCAGCAGGAUGGCUCCAGAUAAAAUGUUGGCCGUGCAUUUUGACAAGCCAGGAGGACCGGAAAACCUCUACGUGAAGGAGGUAGCCAAGCCAAGCCCAGGGGAAGGUGAAGUCCUCCUAAAGGUGGCAGCCAGUGCCCUGAACCGGGCAGACUUAAUGCAGAGACAAGGCCAGUAUUCCCUGCCCCCAGGAGCCAGCAACAUUUUGGGACUCAAGGCAACUGGACAGAUGUGGCAGAGCUGGGGCCUGGCUGCCAGGGACACUGGAAAAUCGGAGAUGCAGCCAUGGCUCUUCUGCCUGGUGGGGGCCACGCUCAGUACAUAACUGUCCCCGAGGGGCUCCUCAUGCCUAUCCCAGAGGGACUGACCCUGCCCAGGCUGCAAUCAUCCCAGAGGCCUGGCUCACUGCCUUCCAGCUGCUGCACUGUGUGGGCCUGUGUGUUUAG